GUCAUGCCGAUUAUAAGAUACACAAUUUUCUCUGCUUUCAAAUCUUUCUGUUUGAACCCGUUGAACUGGAACUUAUGGCAAUUAUUGGUAAUAGUAAUUAUUUGGAAAACAAAAGGUCCUGGAAUGGAGUAUUUUUUAAUCAACAGCAUUGUCCUAUAUUAGUUAUAAAUAAAGUUGAAUUCUUUGAUUCGCUGUUUUACGUCAUGCCCGC
RNAcentral lists this long non-coding RNA (211 nucleotides) under Mytilus galloprovincialis (Mediterranean mussel). The record is from RNAcentral. Lineage: Eukaryota; Metazoa; Mollusca; Bivalvia; Mytilida; Mytilidae.